This 427-nucleotide ribosomal RNA is filed under the name uncultured bacterium. RNAcentral describes it as "partial 16S ribosomal RNA". It matches the Rfam family "Bacterial small subunit ribosomal RNA", at positions 355 to 774 of the family's 1533-position model. The record is from RNAcentral.
UGGGGAAUAUUGCACAAUGGGCGCAAGCCUGAUGCAGCCAUGCCGCGUGUAUGAAGAAGGCCUUCGGGUUGUAAAGUACUUUCAGCGAGGAGGAAGGCGGUAAGGUUAAUAACCUUAUCGAUUGACGUUACUCGCAGAAGAAGCACCGGCUAACUCCGUGCCAGCAGCCGCGGUAAUACGGAGGGUGCAAGCGUUAAUCGGAAUUACUGGGCGUAAAGCGCACGCAGGCGGGCUGUCAAGUCGGAUGUGAAAUCCCCGGGCUCAACCUGGGAACUGCAUUCGAAACUGGCAGGCUAGAGUCUUGUAGAGGGGGGUAGAAUUCCAGGUGUAGCGGUGAAAUGCGUAGAGAUCUGGAGGAAUACCGGUGGCGAAGGCGGCCCCCUGGACAAAGACUGACGCUAAGGUGCGAAAGCGUGGGGAGCAAACA